AGAACGAACGCUGGCGGCAGGCUUAACACAUGCAAGUCGAACGGGUGUAGCAAUACAUCAGUGGCAGACGGGUGAGUAACACGUGGGAACCUUCCUAGGGGUACGGAACAACUCAGGGAAACUUGAGCUAAUACCGUAUACGUCCGUAAGGAGAAAGAUUCAUCGCCCCUAGACGGGCCCGCGUCGGAUUAGGCAGUUGGUGGGGUAACGGCCUACCAAGCCUACGAUCCGUAGCUGAUCUGAGAGGAUGAUCAGCCACACUGGGACCGAGACACGGCCCAGACUCCUACGGGAGGCAGCAGUGGGGAAUCUUGGACAAUGGGCGCAAAGCCUGAUCCAAGCCAUGCCGCGUGAGUGAAGAAAGGCCUUAGGGUGUAAAGCUCUUUUACCAGGGACGAUAAUGACGGUACCUGGAGAAUAAGCCCGCAAAACUUCGUGCAGCAGCCGC
RNAcentral lists this ribosomal RNA (448 nucleotides) under uncultured soil bacterium. Its description in RNAcentral is "bacterial SSU rRNA". It matches the Rfam family "Bacterial small subunit ribosomal RNA", at positions 26 to 518 of the family's 1533-position model. The record is from RNAcentral.